RNAcentral lists this transfer RNA (77 nucleotides) under Nitrososphaerota archaeon. Its description in RNAcentral is "Thaumarchaeota archaeon tRNA-Lys". It matches the Rfam family "tRNA". Rfam says of the family: Transfer RNA (tRNA) molecules are approximately 80 nucleotides in length. Their secondary structure includes four short double-helical elements and three loops (D, anti-codon, and T loops). Further hydrogen bonds mediate the characteristic L-shaped molecular structure. tRNAs have two regions of fundamental functional importance: the anti-codon, which is responsible for specific mRNA codon recognition, and the 3' end, to which the tRNAs corresponding amino acid is attached (by aminoacyl-tRNA synthetases). tRNAs cope with the degeneracy of the genetic code in two manners: having more than one tRNA (with a specific anti-codon) for a particular amino acid; and 'wobble' base-pairing, i.e. permitting non-standard base-pairing at the 3rd anti-codon position. The record is from RNAcentral. Lineage: Archaea; Thermoproteati; Nitrososphaerota. RNAcentral also lists the same sequence under 5 other names.
GGGUCUAUGGCUCAGCCAGGUAGAGCACCGGACUCUUAAUCCGGCUGUCGAGGGUUCGAAUCCCUCUAGACCCGCCA